GUGUUUGUCAAAAAUUUAAAAAUUAAGAAAUUUAGUCUAAUUAUGUUCUGCUUAGGUGUGUUAGAAUUUUCAAAACAUGAGUGAACUGCAUUUUGCUGCUGUUUUCCUCCGGCUUAACACAAUUUUAAUCUUUCAAAACCUGAAAUUGUUGCAUUUCCCUUCUCGAGAAAGUAAAAUCUAUGUGUUUGCAGGGAAAUUUAUCUGUCUUCAUUUCAUUUAGACUGGCUCACCCUCCCCACCCCACCCCUUUUCUUGAAGAUGAUAUUUGGAUAUUCAAUUGAACAUUUGUUGACUCCAAAUUAGCAGUAAUCUGAUUUUGUGCUUGAAUUGUAACCGAGCAUUUUAUUUGACACAAACAAAUAGUUACAUAUAAGAUUUCAAGGAUUUCUAAGACUUUUUGUUUAUGGUCAAACAUGUAAUCCUAUGACAUUUCUUCCAAAUGAGUCCACACCCCAAAAUGGAUAUGUUGUAGAUGUGUUUUUUGCAGCUUAAUGUUUUACAUUUUGAAUGUAAAUCUAUUAUUUGUGGUGAUCUUUGAAAAUGUGGCACUUACAGGGCAAUAAAAUAUUAAUUAAUAGCCUUUCCAUACCCCUUUUAUGCUUUGAAUUAUGUCAGAACUCCCUUUUUCCAUCUCAUUUUGUCAGGACAUUGAUGUAAAGAUUAAAACAACUUGCUUCCACAUAAUAUUUACACUAUGUAAUUUCAAGGAUACCUCUGAUUGUUAAAGUAUUUUAAAAACUGAAAUAUUCCCAUUUUUUAAAAAAAAAUAGUGCUUUGCGACCCUUUUAUUAGAGUGGCUGGUUGUCACCUAAAUACAGCAUUUAUUUUACAUUUAUCAAUCCAUAUUUUAAUAAAUAAUUCAUACUUCGUAUAACAAACUGUGUUUGUAUGUAUGUAUAUAAGCCAGGGAUAGAAAAACAUGGCUUUUAGCCAUAUUCCAUCAACAGUAUUACUUAUGUGGACACAAGUGGGAUUUGUUACCACACCAACAUUUUUAGAGGGUGGGCUUACAGGUUUCACAAUAGUUCCUUACAGUUACCUUCAAGGCAACAAAUUUGCAGCUUGUCUUCCUGUAUACCGGCCAAGGUUUCUAGAAAUAAAUGCUUUUCAUCUCAGACUUUCCCAGAAAUAGGGAAAUAUUAGCAUUUUGAGGCAUACAAAGUGUCAAAAAUGGACCAUUUUGUAGAAAAAGGUAAAAGAAAGUCAAUUUUUGAAAAAUAUUCCAAUAUUUUGAAUAUUUUUGAUGUGACUUGUCUGAAACUCUUUAAAUAUUUUCGCAGAACUCACAUUUCGACAAAAUUAAGAAAGAAUCUUCAAUUCUAGAACAAAAGGCCCAUGGACCUGAGCUGCAAUCCGGUAUACAAAACACUACAUAACUUUAAAGGGUCACCAUUUCUGCAAACUCACAUUUCGACAAAAUUAAGAAAGAAUCUUCAAUUCUAGAACAAAAGGCCCAUGGACCUGAGCUGCAAUCCGGUAUACAAAACACUACAUAACUUUAAAGGGUCACCAUUUCUGCAAACUCACAUUUCGACAAAAUUAAGAAAGAAUCUUCAAUUCUAGAACAAAAGGCCCAUGGACCUGAGCUGCAAUCCGGUAUACAAAACACUACAUAACUUUAAAGGGUCACCAUUUCUGCAGUAAUUAUUUUUUUCUGAUUCUGUAUUAUAAUAAUUUUGCAAAAAUAAAUGUGAAGCUAUAAAGAAAAGAAUUUUGAUGAUAUAUGAACUUAUAAAACCAUAUAGGAGGCAGACCACCAUUAAAUUUCAUCAUCUCGGUACCCACGAAUUGUAGUUCGUCUAUUUAUAGCAAUUCUCUCUCUCUCUCUCUUUUCUCCCCUUUUGCAUGCCCAUUUGUGUUGAUUUUUUGGUCUAGAAUGGACGAAGAGGGUUUGAAUUAACAUUUUCUGCCAGGUUUUGGUAAAUAUUCAUGAUUUUGAGGCGGAAGGAUAAGAGGGUUAUCAGGUUAGCUACGGCGAUAUGUACGGCAACUAGUUACAUGUUUUUAGUAUGCUUCUUCAAGUUUGUGUAUCUCAAAAUUUUGGUGGUCAACCUCAUACAAAUUUUAGUGCAAAGACAUGACCAUUUGUUCCUCUGUCUGUAGUGAAAAGCAUUCAGCCCAACGAAAAUUUGGGGAAAAGUUGGAGGUGGGCAAAGAGGCCAGAAUUAACAUUGAAGUCA
Long non-coding RNA from Patella vulgata (common limpet), 2180 nucleotides. RefSeq lists it as uncharacterized. The record is from RefSeq and is a predicted model, not a curated record. The transcript has 3 exons. Lineage: Eukaryota; Metazoa; Mollusca; Gastropoda; Patellidae.